AUGGGGUUUAAGGGAGCAGCCGUGACCCUGCUGGAGUCCGGGGGGGACCUCCAGCCCCCCGGGGGGUCCCUGCGCCUCCUCUGCCGAGGGUCCGGGUUCAGUUUCGGCAGUUUCUCCAUGAUCUGGGUCCGCCAGAGACCCGGGCAGGGGCUGGAAUACGUCGCGGCGAUCACCAGCACUGGUGGUUACACCGAAUACGCGCAAUCGUUGAAGGGCCGGGUGACGAUCUCCAGGGACAACGGGCAGAGCUCGGUGACGCUGACCAUGAACAGCCUCAAGGACGAGGAUUCCGGAUCCUAUUUCUGUGCCAAAAACGCUUAUGAUGGUGGUGGUGGUUAG
Non-coding RNA from Onychostruthus taczanowskii (white-rumped snowfinch), 339 nucleotides. The record is from the annotation of a RefSeq genome assembly. NCBI's taxonomy places the organism in Eukaryota, Metazoa, Chordata, Aves, Passeriformes, Passeridae.